Molecule: ribosomal RNA, 449 nt
Filed under: uncultured bacterium
Lineage: Bacteria
Description: partial 16S ribosomal RNA
Rfam family: Bacterial small subunit ribosomal RNA
Source: RNAcentral
AACGAGCGCUGGCGGCAUGCCUAACACAUGCAAGUCGAACGAGAUCUUCGGGUCUAGUGGCGCACGGGUGCGUAACGCGUGGGAAUCUGCCCUUUGGUUCGGAAUAACAGUUGGAAACGACUGCUAAUACCGGAUGAUGACGAAAGUCCAAAGAUUUAUCGCCAGAGGAUGAGCCCGCGUAGGAUUAGCUAGUUGGUGUGGUAAAGGCGCACCAAGGCGACGAUCCUUAGCUGGUCUGAGAGGAUGAUCAGCCACACUGGGACUGAGACACGGCCCAGACUCCCACGGGAGGCAGCAGUGGGGAAUAUUGGACAAUGGGCGAAAGCCUGAUCCAGCAAUGCCGCGUGAGUGAUGAAGGCCUUAGGGUUGUAAAGCUCUUUUACCCGGGAUGAUAAUGACAGUACCGGGAGAAUAAGCUCCGGCUAACUCCGUGCCAGCCGCCGCAGUAA